RNAcentral lists this ribosomal RNA (425 nucleotides) under uncultured bacterium. Its description in RNAcentral is "bacterial SSU rRNA". It matches the Rfam family "Bacterial small subunit ribosomal RNA", at positions 354 to 796 of the family's 1533-position model. The record is from RNAcentral.
GUGGGGAAUAUUGGACAAUGGGCGCAAGCCUGAUCCAGCAAUGCCGCGUGUGUGAAGAAGGUCUUCGGAUUGUAAAGCACUUUCGGCGGGGACGAUGAUGACGGUACCCGCAGAAGAAGCCCCGGCUAACUUCGUGCCAGCAGCCGCGGUAAUACGAAGGGGGCUAGCGUUGCUCGGAAUUACUGGGCGUAAAGGGCGCGUAGGCGGCGGUAGUAGUCAGGCGUGAAAUUCCUGGGCUUAACCUGGGGGCUGCGCUUGAUACGCUAUUGCUAGAGGACGGAAGAGGGUCGUGGAAUUCCCAGUGUAGAGGUGAAAUUCGUAGAUAUUGGGAAGAACACCGGUGGCGAAGGCGGCGACCUGGUCCGUUACUGACGCUGAGGCGCGACAGCGUGGGGAGCAAACAGGAUUAGAUACCCGAGUAGUCC